This 230-nucleotide ribosomal RNA is filed under the name uncultured bacterium. Its description in RNAcentral is "partial 16S ribosomal RNA". It matches the Rfam family "Bacterial small subunit ribosomal RNA", at positions 103 to 334 of the family's 1533-position model. The record is from RNAcentral.
CGGGUGAGUAACGCGUGAGGAACCUGCUCAAGAGGGGACGAACAGUUGGAAACGACUGCUAAUACCGCAUAAGCCCACGGCUCGGCAUCGAGCAGAGGGAAAAGGAGUGAUCCGCUUUGAGAUGGCCUCGCGUCCGAUUAGCUAGUUGGUGAGGUAACGGCCCACCAAGGCACGAUCGGUAGCCGGACUGAGAGGUUGAACGGCCACAUUGGGACUGAGACACGGCCCAG